AUAGAGACAAUCAAGUGAAAUAAGGAAUCCAAGCACCUGGGCUGGGCAGACGAACAGGUAGAAGGUGCUCACAUUGAUGCAUGAAGCUAAAUGGAACCAUAGCAAUUGUCAACACAAUGAUUUCUCAGGUAAGAAAGAAAAGCAGUUCUCCACACCAAAGAGCUGGCCUGGUCCUAUCUGCAAGGACAUGGUGCUGUUAGAAGCUGAACUGGUACUCACAGAUAGAGCCCUUAGUGCUGUUAGGAGCUGGCCUGGCACUCACAGAUAGUGGCCUUGGUGUGGUGUUCUACUUAAAAUAUAAAUAAUUUCACAGAAUAUCAAUAACACACAAGGCCUCUGUUACCAUGACGAAUCAUGACAAAAAUAAGAUCCCUCUCAUGUCUAAACACAGACAAAACAUAGGCAUUGUGCAAGCCGUACAAGUCUUAGAAGCACCCUAAGCUGGCCAGGCUGAGUGACUGCUACCCCCUCACAACUGACAGCUUUAGCUUCACUGCAGUUUAUUUUUUAGAUAAAGAGGUAUUGAGACACCAGGUACAGAAUGACUGAAACCUUCCUCCAGGUUACCCAACUUGGUCCUGUGGGACUUCCUGUAAGGAAGUCCUUUCUAACCCUAACCAUGACUCCACAUGGCUCUACGUAGUAUACAUUUGCCCUUGCCUCCGGGAGCAGUAAGUAGUCCAACUUGUUCAACUAUAGGUGGAUGCCCAAGUGGGGUUUCACUGGAAACUGUUGGCACAGUUAACUGUACUCAGGCCAAAGAAGGUGAGUUUAUUUUUCAAUUAAAAAAGCACUUAUUGGGGCUGGGGUUGUGGUUCAGUGGUACAGCGCUUGCCAAGUAUGCGUGAGGCACCGGGUUCAAUCCCGGAACCAUAAAAAUAAAAUAAAGUAUUGUGUCUAUCUACAACUAAAAAUAAAUAUAUUUUUUUAAAAAGCACUUUUUGGGCUGGGGUCAAUGGUAGAAUACUUGCCAGCACCUGUGAGGCACUGUGUUUGAUCCUCAGCACCACAUAAAAUGUAAGUAUUUUUUUAAAAAGCACUUAUUUACAUAAGUCAUAAUUAAAUAUUUUUUUUAAAAAAAAAGAAUAAACAAUACCAGUAUCUAAGGAAUACAAUGUUCACAUCUCCAUCACAUUUCCCACCCUCCUGAGCAAUACUAUCAUUGGGAGCCUGGUGUUGUAGUGCACACCAGUAAUCCCAGUAACUCAGGAGUCUGAGGC
This 1220-nucleotide long non-coding RNA is filed under the name Marmota monax (woodchuck). The record is from RNAcentral. Lineage: Eukaryota; Metazoa; Chordata; Mammalia; Rodentia; Sciuridae.